AUUGAACGCUGGCGGCAGGCUUAACACAUGCAAGUCGAACGAGUGGCGGACGGGUGAGUAAUGCUUGGGAAUCUAGCUUAUGGAGGGGGAUAACUACGGGAAACUGUAGCUAAUACCGCGUACCAUAGGAUGAGCCCAAGUGGGAUUAGGUGGUGGGUGGGGUAAAGGCUCACCAAGCCGGCGAUCUCUAGCUGGUCUGAGAGGAUGACCGGCCACACGGGGACUGAGACGCGGCCCAGACUCCUACGGGAGGCAGCAGUGGGGAAUGUUGCGCAGUGGGGGCGAGCCUGAUGCAGCCAUGCCGCGUGUGUGAAGAAGGCCUUCGGGUUGUAAAGCACUUUCAGCGGGGAGGCGUUACCCGCAGAAGAAGCACCGGCUAACUCCGUGCCAGCAGCCGCGGUAAUAC
Molecule: ribosomal RNA, 406 nt
Filed under: uncultured bacterium
Lineage: Bacteria
Description: partial 16S ribosomal RNA
Rfam family: Bacterial small subunit ribosomal RNA
Source: RNAcentral